Molecule: long non-coding RNA, 268 nt
Filed under: Elaeis guineensis (African oil palm)
Lineage: Eukaryota; Viridiplantae; Streptophyta; Magnoliopsida; Arecales; Arecaceae
Description: long non-coding RNA (EGUI_LNC046979)
Source: RNAcentral
GACUAAAAGAAGUCUCUCCUGUAGGUAUCCUCUAAAUGGUUCGAUAGGUCAAAAGCACAUUAUGCAGCUCAUCCACCCAUGAUCCUUUGACCCGAUCUAACCUAGAUUUCAAAUCCUGUACAAAGAUAUGGUUAGUUACCUCAGCUUCUCCAUUGGCCUGUGGAUGUCCACCGAUGUAAGAUAAUAGAAGAUACCGAGGCUUUGAUAAAAUUUGAUAAAUUCAUAAUCGGAGAACUGAUGAUCGUUGUCCAUGAUCAGCAUCCUUGAG